Long non-coding RNA from Equus caballus (horse), 2236 nucleotides. NCBI's taxonomy places the organism in Eukaryota, Metazoa, Chordata, Mammalia, Perissodactyla, Equidae. The record is from Ensembl.
CCUGUCUGUUCCUCUCCUCUGUUGUAAUUGCACAGUCACUGAGGCCCAGCUGUGCUUUGGGCAGUCCUGGGAGCUGCAAAUAUAUCCGGCGAACAAGACUGAGUCUCACUUGACUGACGUCUGUCAUUGAAGAGGCUGUUCUAACUGGGGACAACAGGAAGCCAACCAACCACGGCCACCAGCACCACCCCCUGGAGAACCUCAAGCCUCGAGGGAUAAAUACACAAUGGAAAUAAAGCAAGGCGAGAACCAUCGAGCGUGCCAGGGGAGCGACUUUAAAGGGAUGAUAUUGAAGGACCUCUCUGAGGAUGUGUGGUGAACAGCAAGAAGGGCCUGCCGUGCACAAAAAUCUAGGAAAAGAACAUUCUAGGAGAAGAGACCUGCCAGCGGAGAGGCCCUAAGACAAGACUGAGCUUAGCUGGAGGAAUGGCGAGAGGCCCCGGUGGCAGGGAUGAGGAACUUUAUAAUAGAGGUCUUUUAUUGCCAUUCAAGAGCUGUAGCAACCAAGGCACAGAGAUGUUGAGCAAGUUGUCCGAGGUCACAGAGAGGCCGGGUGGCAAAGCAGGAAUGGAAUUGAUCCUCCAUCUUCAAGAGUUGAUGCGUAGGAGCUUGGCCUGAAUUUUAACCACGGAAGCAUGAAAAGUGGCGGAUACCCCACUUUGGGACAUGAACAGGAAGUUUGAGAAGUGACAGGCCACAGGCACAGGCCAGCCCUGCUGAGAAAUCGCCAUCAGGAGCAAACCACAUGUCCUGUGAACUCGGGGACCUGCCAGCAAAAUUCCCUGAUGCUGGAACUUCGGGCAGAGAGCGCCGGUCUUGCGCUGAUUGGCGUCAGGAGCCAAGUGUGGUGGGGGAGGGGAGUCAGCACAUAUUUCUCCGCUGAACUCCGUUUCCCAUUUGGUUUGGCAGCUUGUUUUUCAUGAAAUGAGGCCAAUCCACGAAUUCCGUGUCAACAUCGCUCCUUUUACUGGAACCGCAAAGGCAGCCCCCCGGGACUGGCUCCAUCUCUGGGCAGACAUCAAAACAACCCCUUUUCGCUUUGAAAGCAUAGCAGGCGUCUCAGAGCCCCCCACUUCCUUACCUGUGUUUCCCUCUGAGGAAGAAAGCAAGGACCAGGGCCGUGGCUGCAGUGCCCCGAGCUCACUGUUGGCACAGCAGCCCUGGGCUGGCCACGCUGAGGGUUCUCCUGGCCCUGCUGCCUGUCUUCCCUUUCUUGUGCGUCCAAGGCCCGGAGGCUCCUUCCUGCCUGCUUGUCUCGCUUCCAGGACUAGCUUGAUGAGUAGGCAUGGCCUCCCCAGCCCCUCAGCUGUCACCCUGCCACAGCUGCCCUCCUGCUGCGACCUCAGGGGGUUGCAGAAGGUGCUGUGGCAUCCAAAAUCCACUCCCCAUCAGGGACUAGAGCCGAACUUCCGAGGCCUCCAGGGCUCCUCUGCUCUGGGGAGGGGGCCUCCUCUUAGCUGCUCCAACACCUGCUGCCCAGCGGGGUGGGGCCGGUGUGCAGGUAGGAGCAAGCAGGCACAUUUGGGAAGGAGAAUAAUAGUGGGUAGUGAGUAGCGGACAGUCAGAAGUGGCUUUAUUGGCAACUGGUACGUACUGAUGGGCACGUCAGCAGCAAGGUUCACUGCAUACGAGGUUGUCUGCAUGAGAGAGGAGGUGGGAGAAAGGCUGUCCUGGGGCAUGGGGUGACCUGGCUCCAGGUCACCUUUCUCUAGGAAGGUCCUGCUCUGUGUCCUCUCGACACCCUGUGCUUCUCUUGUGGCUGCAGCCCCUGUCACGGCCUCUGCACGCUCCUGUCUUCCCAGCUGCUGUCUUCCUCCCCAUCUCCUCCCAGGACCCAGCACCCUUGCGCAUAUGGUGAGGUCAGCGACCCCCUCCACUGUGUCAAGUGAGUGAAUGACUACUGGCUGCUCCUUGCAGUGCUGGGGAGACGAUGCAAGGGGCGGUGGGGUUGUCACGGCUCUAUCCCAAGGGGAGGUCCUGAGGCACCAACAGCGUAGCAGUUUUGCAGUGUGCCCGGAGUGUGAGUCUGGGCUCCAUGACUUACUAGCUGUGUGCUGGACAAGCUGUUUAUCUUUCUGUGCCUCAGUUUCUUCAUGUAUAAAAUAGAGAUAAUAAUACCUACCUAAUUUUUUUUGUGAGAAAUAAAUGAGUUAAUAUAUUUAAACUCCUUAAACAAAAAGUCUGAUAUUUUGUAAGCUCUUAAUAAAUGUCAGCUUAAGAAAUUUUUUUAAAACCC